Alligator sinensis (Chinese alligator) is the source of this 427-nucleotide long non-coding RNA. RefSeq lists it as uncharacterized. The transcript is spliced from 3 exons. NCBI's taxonomy places the organism in Eukaryota, Metazoa, Chordata, Crocodylia, Alligatoridae. The record is from RefSeq and is a predicted model, not a curated record.
GCUGUUCAGGGAAAGGAGAUCCUGCAGGGGAGAAACUGCUGCUUAUAUGACUAAUGGGGCUCCAGCAGCCCAUAAGGUCCUCCUCUGCUUAUUCCCAGCCUAUCAGCAUUGGUUGCUGGUCUCCAGCCGUGACGUGUCUGCCCAGUAUUAAGACAAAAAAAAAGUUCUCACUUAUGUAAGUGGUGUUUGUGGUAUAUAUUGGGCCCAGUAUCUCAGUUUCAAAGUCAUGGAACGUUGUCAGCGUGAAAGAGAACCUAAGGGUAAAGGGGAGUGAACUUAAAGAUGGAGAGUGAAGAUUUGGCAAGAGAGAAAAAAGUUUAAUCUUGAAGAACCAAACCAAGACAUGAUCAAAUGCAGUUACUGCCAGGAAGGACAGCAGCUUCAUUAUUAAGUGCAAGCACACAAAUAAAAAUGUUUUUGCUUCUUU